AACGAACGCUGGCGGCAGGCUUAACACAUGAAAGUCGAGCGCCCCGCAAGGGGCGCGGCAGACGGGUGAGUACCGCGUGGGAACGUACCUCUUGGUUCGGAACAACUCCGGGAAACUGGAGCUAAUACCGGAUAAGCCCUAACGGGGAAAGAUUUAUCGCCGAAAGAUCGGCCCGCGUCUGAUUAGCUAGUUGGUGAGGUAACGGCUCACCAAGGCGACGAUCAGUAGCUGGUCUGAGAGGAUGAUCAGCCACACUGGGACUGAGACACGGCCCAGACUCCUACGGGAGGCAGCAGUGGGGAAUAGUGGACAAUGGGCGCAAGCCUGAUCCAGCCAUGCCGCGUGAGUGAUGAAGGCCUUAGGGUUGUAAAGCUCUUUUGUCCGGGAAGAUAAUGACUGUACCGGAAGAAUAAGCCCCGGCUAACUUCGUG
Molecule: ribosomal RNA, 431 nt
Filed under: uncultured bacterium
Lineage: Bacteria
Description: partial 16S ribosomal RNA
Rfam family: Bacterial small subunit ribosomal RNA
Source: RNAcentral